UCUGACCUCAAAUCAGGUAGGACUACCCGCUGAACUUAAGCAUAUCAAUAAGCGGAGGAAAAGAAACUAACAAGGAUUCCCCUAGUAACUGCGAGUGAAGCGGGAAAAGCUCAAAUUUGAAAUCUGGCAGUCUUUUUUUUCUUCUUUGGCUGUCGAGUUGUAAUCUAGAGAAGUGCUUACCUGCACUGGACCAUGUAUAAGUCUCCUGGAAUGGAGCGUCGCAGAGGGUGAGAAUCCCGUCUUUGACAUGGACUGCCAGUGUGUUGUGGUGUGCUCUCAAAGAGUCGAGUUGUUUGGGAAUGCAGCUCUAAAUGGGUGGUAAACUCCAUCUAAAGCUAAAUAUUGGCGAGAGACCGAUAGUGAACAAGUACCGUGAGGGAAAGAUGAAAAGGACUUUGGAAAGAGAGUUAAACAGUAUGUGAAAUUGUUGAAAGGGAAACGCUUGAAGUCAGUUAUGUUGGCUAGGGAUCAACCUAGCUACUUUUGCUGGGUGAAUUUCCUAGUCUUACAGGCCAACAUCAGUCUUGACUGCUAGAAAAGAGCAGAGGGAAUGUGGCACCUUUGGGUGUGUUAUAGCCCUUUGUCAUAUGUGGCAGUCGGGACUGAGGGAUGCAGCAUGCCGCGAGGCUGGGUUUCUGACCACGUUCAUGCUUAGGAUGUUGGCUUUUAAUGGCUUCAAUCGACCCGUCUUGAAACACGGACCAAGGAGUCUAACAUGCCUGCGAGUGUUUGGGUGGGGAAAACCCUUGUGCACAAUGAAAGUGAAAGUUGAGAUCCCUGUCAUGGGGAGCAUCGACGCCCGGACUUGAGCUUUUAGCGACGGAUCCGCGGUAGAGCAUGCAUGUUGGGACCCGAAAGAUGGUGAACUAUGCCUGAAUAGGGCAAAGCCAGAGGAAACUCUGGUGGAGGCUCGUAGCGAUUCUGACGUGCAAAUCGAUCGUCAAAUUUGGGUAUAGGGGCGAAAGACUAAUCGAACCAUCUAGUAGCUGGUUCCUGCCGAAGUUUCCCUCAGGAUAGCAGAAGCUCAUUAUCAGAUUUAUGUGGUAAAGCGAAUGAUUAGAGGCCUUGGGGUUGAAACAACCUUAACCUAUUCUCAAACUUUAAAUAUGUAAGAACGAGUUGUCACUUGAC
This 1131-nucleotide ribosomal RNA is filed under the name Amanita coryli. RNAcentral's name for it is "partial 28S ribosomal RNA". It matches the Rfam family "Eukaryotic large subunit ribosomal RNA", at positions 1 to 1095 of the family's 3401-position model. Lineage: Eukaryota; Fungi; Basidiomycota; Agaricomycetes; Agaricales; Amanitaceae. The record is from RNAcentral.